CACUAUGCUUAGCCCUAAACAUUGAUAGUUUACCACAUCGAACAUCCGCCUGGGAAUUACGAACACUAGUUUAAAACCCAAAGGACUUGGCGGUGCUUAACAUCCACCUAGAGGAGCCUGUUCUAGAACCGAUAACCCCCGUUAAACCUCACCCUCCCUAGUUCUUACCGCCUAUAUACCACCGUCGCCAGCUUACCCUGUGAAGGCCUAAUAGUAAGCACAAUCGGCACAGCCCAAAACGUCAGGUCGAGGUGUAGUGCAUGAGAGGGGAAGAAAUGGGCUACAUUCGCUGCCUGCCAGCGAACACGAAUGUUGUAUUGAAACAUACAACUGAAGGAGGAUUUAGCAGUAAGCAGAAAAUAGAGCGUUCCGCUGAAACCGGCUCUUAAGCGCGCACACACCGCCCGUCACCCUCCCCAAGCACCUGGACCCAAAUUUUCUUAAACCUACACAAACGCGAAGGAGAGGAAAGUCGUAA
RNAcentral lists this ribosomal RNA (478 nucleotides) under Turrum coeruleopinnatum (coastal trevally). RNAcentral's name for it is "partial small subunit ribosomal RNA". It matches the Rfam family "Bacterial small subunit ribosomal RNA", at positions 788 to 1491 of the family's 1533-position model. Lineage: Eukaryota; Metazoa; Chordata; Actinopteri; Carangiformes; Carangidae. The record is from RNAcentral.